GAUGAACGCUGGCGGCGUGCCUAAUACAUGCCAGUCGAGUGAACAGACGAGGAGCUUGCUCCUCUGACGUUAGCGGCGGACGGGUGAGUAACACGUGGAUAACCUACCUAUAAGACUGGGAUAACUUCGGGAAACCGGAGCUAAUACCGGAUAAUAUAUUGAACCGCAUGGUUCAAUAGUGAAAGACGGUUUUGCUGUCACUUAUAGAUGGAUCCGCGCCGCAUUAGCUAGUUGGUAAGGUAACGGCUUACCAAGGCAACGAUGCGUAGCCGACCUGAGAGGGUGAUCGGCCACACUGGAACUGAGACACGGUCCAGACUCCUACGGGAGGCAGCAGUAGGGAAUCUUCCGCAAUGGGCGAAAGCCUGACGGAGCAACGCCGCGUGAGUGAUGAAGGUCUUCGGAUCGUAAAACUCUGUUAUUAGGGAAGAACAAAUGUGUAAGUAACUAUGCACGUCUUGACGGUACCUAAUCAGAAAGCCACGGCUAACUACGUG
RNAcentral lists this ribosomal RNA (497 nucleotides) under uncultured bacterium. RNAcentral's name for it is "partial 16S ribosomal RNA". It matches the Rfam family "Bacterial small subunit ribosomal RNA", at positions 28 to 507 of the family's 1533-position model. The record is from RNAcentral.